RNAcentral lists this ribosomal RNA (421 nucleotides) under uncultured bacterium. Its description in RNAcentral is "bacterial SSU rRNA". It matches the Rfam family "Bacterial small subunit ribosomal RNA", at positions 420 to 856 of the family's 1533-position model. The record is from RNAcentral.
GGGUUGUAAACCUCUUUUCACGGGGAAGAAUUUUGACGGUACCCGAGGAAUAAGCCUCGGCCAAUUACGUGCCAGCAGCCGCGGUAAAACGUGAGAGGCGAAUGUUAUUCGGAUUUACUGGGCGUAAAGAGAGUGUAGGCGGCUCUUUAAGUCAGGUGUGAAAUCUUCCGACUUAAUCAGAAGACGUCACUUGAAACUGGAGGGCUUGAGGGUAGUAGAAGGAAAUGGAAUUCCCGGUGUAGCGGUGAAAUGCGUAGAUAUCGGGGAGAACACCAGUGGCGAAGGCGAUUUCCUAGGCUAUUCCUGACGCUGAGGCUCGAAAGCGUGGGGAGCGAAGCGGAUUAGAUACCCGCGUAGUCCACGCCCUAAACGGUGGACACUAGAUAUAGGAGGUAUCGACCCUCUCUGUGCCGAAGCUAAC